This is an RNA transcript of Astyanax mexicanus (Mexican tetra), 3786 nucleotides long. It is a transcript of the gene named PWWP domain-containing DNA repair factor 3B-like, with no coding region annotated. The transcript has 9 exons. The record is from RefSeq and is a predicted model, not a curated record. Lineage: Eukaryota; Metazoa; Chordata; Actinopteri; Characiformes; Acestrorhamphidae.
AGUUACCAAGAUUCUGAUUUUGUAUAAAAAUAGUGUAACAAAAACAAAGUAAUGUAACGACAAAUAUUAUUGUGCACGAAAUUAUAUAGCACACCCCUUGUUCUAAUAUGUAUUUAUGAUAUGCAUUUUAUUUUACUUUUUGUACAUGUUUAGACACUGUCCCAACUUAAUUCUUCUUUUUUUUGUUUUUUUUUAGGUGAAGUGUUGUCGCCGCUGCCAACUAAAUGACCCCAUGAAGACGGGGACACCAGUGUUACAUUCUAUUAAGGUGAAGGCUGCAUGGGAGGUGAUUGGCCUGGAUUUAAUUGGCCCACUGCGAGAAACUGGUCAAAAAAACAAGUAUGUGUUGACCAUGACUGAUUUAUAUACAAAGUGGGUUGUUGCUGAGCCACUGCAAAAUAAGACUGCAACUGAAGUGUCAGCAGCCAUCAUAAAGACACUCUUACUUGUUCGGCAUGGUCAAGAAAAUUAUUACUGACCAAGGGAGAGAGUUUGUUAAUGAGCUGAAUGAAAACAUCUUUGCAACUCUGAAAAUCAAACAUGCUGUCUCAAGUGCCUACCACCCUUAGACAAAUGGGCAGGUAAUUUUCAACAUAAUUUUAUUUGACAUUUCCCUGUAAUGUUAAAAAAAAAUAGGAAAUGUUUUAAUUGUUGUUGUUUUUUAUAUAUAUAUAGGAUGAGCGAACAAAUCAAAAUGUCAAACGUUUAUUGCGGAAGUAUGUAAAUGAAAGCCAUAAUGAUUGGGACAUCCAUUUACCUGCAGUUGUGUAUGGUAUUAACACUGCUAAGCAAGUGGGUAUUCAUUAUACAUUCAUUAUGGUCGAUAUAUAAUGUAAUCGAUAUAUAAUGUUUUAUUUCUGAUAACUUAAUUUGUUUUUAACCAGUCUUCAACCAGGCACACCCCGUAUUUCUUAUUCUUCCAUCGGCACCCUCAUUUGCCAAAGGUUAUGAACGCCUGUCCCAUGGGAGAAGACUUUAAAAUUGCUGACCCAGAAGAUGAUCUUGACACCCGAGUAAAUGAAAUGAAAAUUUUAAAUGAGAAGGUUAGGUCCAAAUUCAUGUAGUCUGACCACAGAAGUUUUUUUUAAUUCAAUGGCAUGUAGUAAAGUGUAAUUUUUUUUUUUUUCAGGUGCUUAGCAACAUUGAAAAUGCGCAGAAAAGACAACAAAAGUCUUACAGGAACCGUAAGAGAAAGCUAAUGAGCACAAUCAGUCCUGGCGAUGAGGUCUUGAUUUCUCAAGAUUUCAAUAUAAAACAGAGAAAAGACACCCUUGCUGACCGCCACAAAGGUCCUUUCACUGUGGAUAGUAUCUCUAAAAAGGGUGUGGCAUCAGUGGUGAAAGAUAAUGGGACUCGAUGUUGCAUCAAUGUCUCACGGCUAAGGCCUUUCUACAGGUUGGAAAAUCAUGGAGCAGUUCCAUGUGUGUCACUUCAGGACCAUGAGUAUGGUACACCUGAUGAAGCAACAGACCAUCCUUAUGCUUUUUCUGGAGAGAAAUGGGAAAAAGACUUGGGUCCUCUCCAGGAAAAACUGGUAGGGGAUGAUUCCACCUAGCCCAUUCCAAAUUUCACUCUCCUUCACACACUGUUAGACACUACCAAUAAUUUUUUUGCAAUCGUAUAUUCAGACCAUCUCUCACAUACUUACACUCUCACACCAUUCUCACCCCCCCCUCCCUUGCUAACUCUUUUAAUUGCAGUUGAAAUAUGUCCUGGACAAAAGCCUUCCAGCAGCAGAAUUGAUUGUUAAAGAUGACAAUAUCUGUCUUACACGUGAGGACUUGUGGAGUCUUGGGUUAAAUCAGUGCAUGGAGUCUACUGUAAGUAUAUUCAUGUUGCAGCAUGCUUGCUCAAAGGCACAGAAAUAGUUUUUUUUGUGUGUAAUUUAUGCCUUUAUUUUGUUUUAUUACGUCUAGAUUGGGAAUGCAUGUUUUAAGAUCAUCAGAGAAGCUGCUCAAAAACAUGUAAUUAAUUACAGAAGCUCAAACAUUGUUAUUUUGUAUACUUCUUCAUGGGUACUUGUAUACAUUUGCUAAUCUUGUUGUGUUGUAAAUAGGGGAAAGAUGUUUACAUUGCUGACAUGUAUGUGGUUCCCACAUGGAAAACGAUGAAUGUGGACCCACUCUCAAGUUUACCGGUAAAGUGAAGUUAAACACACACAGACAGACAGUUGCACAUUAAUGCAAUGAUUUCUGUACAAUGCACAGUAGUUGAAUGGUUGCAUUUUCUUUCUCUACACCAGAACAAUCUGUGUUCCAAGGAUGCGAUUUUGUUCCCUGCAUGGAGUAUGCAACAGAAUCAACUGGAUCACUAUUUGCUAUGUGUUGAGUUACAGUUUCAAAAAAUAGAUAUUCAGAUUUUUAGAAUGAAGUUUGUUGAUUAGCUUAUCAUUUUGAAAUAUGUCCAUUGCAGGUUUUACUGGUUGUGGAGAGAGAGAUCAUUUUUCUAGAUUCUGUACUCCCUGGUGGUUUUGGAGAUGACUCGUACAAAACGAUAUUUAGGUUAAGAGAGAGGAAAAAGUUGCCCUUGUUCAGUGGCUUUUACCAAUAAUAUUUUACGCAAGAGCCAUGUUCUGUGGCUGCUGAUUUACACAAAAGCCUUGUUCUAUGGCUGAUGAUUUACAAAAAGCCUUGUUCUAUGGCUGAAAAUUAACAAAAAGCCUUGUUCUAUGGCUGAUGAUUUACAAAAAGCCUUGUUCUAUGGCUGAAAAUGAACAAAAAGCCUUGUUCUAUGGCAAAUGAUUUACAAAAAGCCUUGUUCUAUGGCUGCUUAUUUAUAGCUUUGUUCUUUUGUUUUAUGUUUACGCAGUAGCCUUGUUCGAUGGCUGUAGGAUUAGGUCUCAUUUUAUGAAACUAGACCAUGGAGAACAAUUGUAUGACUAUAGGUUUCAGUAAGUGUGUGUCCAUAAUUAAUUUUUUUUCCCAUUUUAUGUGCAGACAUAUUGCAGGCCAGAUUGACCCAAGACCCUGGACAGAGAAGACCGGCAGAAGUUUUGAUCACUUCCCUCAACAAACUUCUGGGAACUACUGUGGCAUCCUUAUACUCAUUUAUGCCCUCUGUAUCUGCACCAAUACCCCAUUUAUCUUCACAGAAUGAUGUGCCAUUAAUCCGCCAGUGGUGGUGCAUCCUACUGAUGGAAAGAUUUCAGAUUGAAGGACAUGGCCAGAGGUUUGCUUUCUGGACUGACAAGGCUAGCAGGCUAUUGCAAGGGACCCUUCAGCCACUUUUUAGGGUAUCUAGGUCAAUCACUUCAGACAUUCCACCUCAUGUGCAAACCAUGGUCAACCGCACAGCCCAAGAAAAGAAGCUGGUAGACUUUGCUGUACAAGACCAUGGAGUCCGGCAACAUUUGUUGGGUGUACUCUGUGGAAAAGAGCCUUCGAAGUGGCUCAGCAGAAUCCAGAAGGGAUCAUCUCUACGGGUGCCAGUGUACCUGGACUCGGAGGAAGAACAGGACUCCCUAUUUUUCUAUCUUCAGGAUGUCCUGAAAUCUGCACCAGUAGAAUUCCACAUUGAGGAUCAAGUGCAGUUCAUUUUGGAUGUUUUGUUCCCAGAGGUAAGGUUACUAGGUAUGCAGUAAAUAUCUAUUAACAAUGUUAAAUAGCCUGUUGUGACUUAAGUUACAUAAAAUUUUUAAUCAAAUGUAUCUUUUUUUAAAAUCCAAUAGAGUAGUACUGUGAGACCAUGAUAACCACAAUACAUUUUCUCAGACAGUUAUUGGGUCAUUUUCAGCAGUGACACUAACGCUAAUGCUGGAGUUUUUAAACACCUCAGUUUCACUUGCUU